AGCGAACGCUGGCGGCAGGCUUAACACAUGCAAGUCGAGCGGGCAUCCUUGUGGUGUCCGCGGCAGACGGGUGAGUAACGCGUGGGAACGUGCCCUUCGGUUCGGAAUAACUCAGGGAAACUUGAGCUAAUACCGGAUACGUGCGAGAGCAGAAAGGUUUAUCUGCCGAAGGAUCGGCCCGCGUCUGAUUAGCUAGUUGGUGAGGUUACGGCUCACCAAGGCGACGAUCAGUAGCUGGGCUGAGAGGAUGAUCAGCCACACUGGGACUGAGACACGGCCCAGACUCCUACGGGAGGCAGCAGUGGGGAAUAUUGGACAAUGGGGGCAACCCUGAUCCAGCCAUGCCGCGUGAGUGAUGACGGCCCUAGGGUUGUAAAGCUCUUUUCUCCGGGACGAUAAUGACGGUACCGGAGGAAUAAGCCCCGGCUAACUUCGUG
This 437-nucleotide ribosomal RNA is filed under the name uncultured bacterium. RNAcentral's name for it is "partial 16S ribosomal RNA". It matches the Rfam family "Bacterial small subunit ribosomal RNA", at positions 29 to 507 of the family's 1533-position model. The record is from RNAcentral.